GAGUUUGAUCUUGGCUCAGGAUGAACGCCGGCGGUGUGCCUAAUACAUGCAAGUCGUACGCACUGGCCCAACUGAUUGAUGGUGCUUGCACCUGAUUGACGAUGGAUCACCAGUGAGUGGCGGACGGGUGAGUAACACGUAGGUAACCUGCCCCGGAGCGGGGAGUAACAUUUGGUAAACAGAUGCUAAUACCGCAUAACAACAAAGGCCACAUGGCUUUGUUUGUAAGAUGGCUUUGGUCCAUCACUCUGGGAUGGACCUGCGGUGCAUUAGCUAGUUGGUAAGGUAACGGCUUACCAAGGCGAUGAUGCAUAGCCGAGUUGAGAGACUGAUCGGCCACAAUGGAACUGAGACACGGUCCAUACUCCUACGGGAGGCAGCAGUAGGGAAUCUUCCACAAUGGGCGCAAGCCUGAUGGAGCAACACCGCGUGAGUGAAGAAGGGUUUCGGCUCGUAAAGCUCUGUUGUUGGAGAAGAACGUGCGUGAGAGU
Molecule: ribosomal RNA, 491 nt
Filed under: uncultured microorganism
Description: bacterial SSU rRNA
Rfam family: Bacterial small subunit ribosomal RNA
Source: RNAcentral